CAAGACCUUGCGCUUUUGGAGCGGCCGAUGUCUGAUUAGCUAGUUGGUGAGGUAAAGGCUUACCAAGGCUUCGAUCAGUAGCUGGUCUGAGAGGACGACCAGCCACACUGGGACUGAGACACGGCCCAGACUCCUACGGGAGGCAGCAGUGGGGAAUUUUGGACAAUGGGGGCAACCCUGAUCCAGCCAUGCCGCGUGAGUGAAGAAGGCCUUCGGGUUGUAAAGCUCUUUCAGCCGGAACGAAACGGUCACGGUUAAUAACCGUGAUCACUGACGGUACCGGAAGAAGAAGCACCGGCUAACUACGUGCCAGCAGCCGCGGUAAUACGUAGGGUGCGAGCGUUAAUCAGAAUUACUGGGCGUAAAGCGUGCGCAGGCGGUUUUGUAAGUCAGAUGUGAAAUCCCCGGGCUUAACCUGGGAACU
RNAcentral lists this ribosomal RNA (424 nucleotides) under uncultured beta proteobacterium. Its description in RNAcentral is "bacterial SSU rRNA". It matches the Rfam family "Bacterial small subunit ribosomal RNA", at positions 207 to 622 of the family's 1533-position model. Lineage: Bacteria; Pseudomonadati; Pseudomonadota; Betaproteobacteria. The record is from RNAcentral.